Ctenopharyngodon idella (grass carp) is the source of this 1964-nucleotide long non-coding RNA. RefSeq lists it as uncharacterized. The record is from RefSeq and is a predicted model, not a curated record. The transcript is spliced from 2 exons. NCBI's taxonomy places the organism in Eukaryota, Metazoa, Chordata, Actinopteri, Cypriniformes, Xenocyprididae.
UAGGUAUCUGUGUAGUGUCUGUAUUAUAGUUGUCUGUCCUGUGUGUUAGAACUGAUUUAACACAACACUGAAACACAGAUGAGACAUGGACUACUAGAAUAAAGACACAUCAAAGAGAAGUUAAAUAGAGACAUGACACAGAACUGAAGCACAGAUGAGACACAGAAAACUACAGAUGACGCAGAACUGAAGCACAGACACAUCAAAAGCUAGAAUACAGACACAACAGACAGAUCUGAAGCACAGACAAGACAGAGAGAACUAAAAUACAGACACAAAAAAAACAGAAUAAAGACAACAAAGAAAUCAAACACAGACAUGACAAAAAAACUAGAAUACAGACGCAACAGACAGAACUGAAACACGGACACAACAACAACAAAAAAACUAUACAGACACAACAGACAGGGUUACACUUUAUUUCAAUGGUCCACUUUAGAAAUUCUACCAACUUGUUAGACUGUUAGUAGACAGGGUUAUUAGAAUAAGUUGACAUGUAGUUGAAAAUGUACUUAUAGUCAAUAGAAUGUCUGUUGGGGGACCAUCAAAAAAAGUGUUAGCAGAUAUCAAGCAGACAGUCUACUAAUACUCUUGACAUGUAGUUGCAAAGUUACUUGUUAUAAUGUAUAAGUGGACCAUCAAACUGAAGUGUUACCCAGCCAGAACUGAAACGACAGAGAGAACUAAAAUACAGACACACACACACAAACAGAACAAAGACAUGACAGAGAAACAGACACAACACAGAGAACUGAAACACAGACGUGAUGAAAAAAAAUAGGAUACAGACACAACAGGUAGAACUAAAAACAGACAUGAUAAAAAUAGAAUACAGACACGACAGACAGAAGUGAAACACAGACACAACAACAACAACAAAAAACUAGAAUAAAGACAUGACAGAACUGAAACCGACAGGACAAAAUAGAAUACACAAAAAAGAGAAAUAGAAUGCACAAAAAUAGUCAUGACAGAGAAACAGACACAACAGAAGGGCUUUUCUCACUUGAAAUAGUUAACCCUGGGUCAUUCUAAACCACAAGUAAACGGAUUCCUGGGUUAUCUUUAUUCACGUUUCACAUAGCCAGGUUUAACAGUUAAUCCUGGGUAUUCAUAAGCUGCCGUUUCACACUGUACAUUCCUAAACCACGGGUUAAAGUUCUUGUUUGAAUAUUCGCGGUGUCAGUGUUCCUGACUGCACAAACGCAGCACGUGACCUGUUUACAUAAGGGCUCUAGCAUCGCAUAUCCUCAUAUUACGCCGAGUCAUGCUGACUGUAACAUCAAGUUUUUCUGAGCUAUAAAGGAAACAGGAUGUCCUUUUGUGUGAGCUGCAGUGCUAAAGUGAUGUGAAACUCUCUUCAUAAUGCAGCACCAUCGCGUAGGUGCCACUGCUUAGACAUCGCAAUCUAACAGAGACUCUGCACCAUUUGCUAUCUGAAAGAGUCAGAGGACGCAAGAGAAAACACGGGAGAGAGACGCAGACAUGGCGCUGCUGCCGGAGAAUAAUUUAUGCACGACUCCGAUCACACACAGAUGUUUAGAGAGAGAGAGUGAGAGAGAGAGCGACAGACUGUGCUGUUGGGAAAAUCUGCAGCGAUCAGAGGAAGUCAGCCUAGAAUAAAAUUCCUGGUGCAUGUGUUUGCGUGCAUGUGAGCUCUCGCAGCAACCACGACCCUAGCCUGACCUCUACUUCUUGCAUCAAAGAGGAUUAUGGGACAGCUAACAGUCUGCCAAGAAUCCGACUGAAGGUCCGUGCUGAAAAAGAAAAUAGAAAAGUUGGACCGAAACAGACCGACUUGAUGACGUGUAUGAACAAAAUCCGUAUUAUCUGUCAAAUUCUUCCAAACGGCAUCAGAGAUUGUCUGCAAGAGAAGGAAGAGCAUUUAAAACACUUUUGCAGAGAUAUUAAAACUGGCUGUAAAAUUUUGAUUAUUAUUAUUAUUAAAAUUAUUUAUUAAUGAC